UGUGAAGGUGAAGAAGAGA
RNAcentral lists this small RNA (19 nucleotides) under Arabidopsis thaliana (thale cress). Its description in RNAcentral is "ATSL120280". Lineage: Eukaryota; Viridiplantae; Streptophyta; Magnoliopsida; Brassicales; Brassicaceae. The record is from RNAcentral.